RNAcentral lists this ribosomal RNA (483 nucleotides) under uncultured bacterium. Its description in RNAcentral is "partial 16S ribosomal RNA". It matches the Rfam family "Bacterial small subunit ribosomal RNA", at positions 30 to 507 of the family's 1533-position model. The record is from RNAcentral.
UUGAACGCUGGCGGCAUGCCUUACACAUGCAAGUCGCACGGCAGCGCGGACUUCGGUCUGGCGGCGAGUGGCGAACGGGUGAGUAAUACAUCGGAACGUACCCUGUUGUGGGGGAUAACUAGUCGAAAGAUUAGCUAAUACCGCAUACGACCUGAGGGUGAAAGUGGGGGACCGCAAGGCCUCACGCAGCAGGAGCGGCCGAUGUCUGAUUAGCUAGUUGGUGGGGUAAAGGCCCACCAAGGCGACGAUCAGUAGCUGGUCUGAGAGGACGAUCAGCCACACUGGGACUGAGACACGGCCCAGACUCCUACGGGAGGCAGCAGUGGGGAAUUUUGGACAAUGGGGGCAACCCUGAUCCAGCAAUGCCGCGUGUGUGAAGAAGGCCUUCGGGUUGUAAAGCACUUUUGUCCGGAAAGAAAUCGCGCUGGUUAAUACCUGGCGUGGAUGACGGUACCGGAAGAAUAAGCACCGGCUAACUACGUG